CCUACGGGAGGCAGCAGUAGGGAAUCUUCCACAAUGGGCGAAAGCCUGAUGGAGCAACGCCGCGUGGGUGAAGAAGGUCUUCGGAUCGUAAAACACUGUUGUUAGAGAAGAAAGUGCGUGAGAGUAACUGUUCACGUUUCGACGGUAUCUAACCAGAAAGCCACGGCUAACUACGUGCCAGCAGCCGCGGUAAUACGGAGGUGGCAAGCGUUAUCCGGAUUUAUUGGGCGUAAAGGGAACGCAGGCGGUCUUUUAAGUCUGAUGUGAAAGCCUUGGGCUUAACCGGAGUAGUGCAUCGGAAACUGGGAGACUUGAGUGCAGAAGAGGGGAGUCGAACUCCAUGUGUAGCGGUGAAAUGCGUAGAUAUAUGGAGGAACACCAGUGGCGAAAGCGGCUCUCUGGUCUGUAACUGACGCUGAGGUUCGAAAGCGUGGGUAGCAAACAGGAUUAGAUACCCUUGUAGUC
This 465-nucleotide ribosomal RNA is filed under the name uncultured bacterium. RNAcentral's name for it is "partial 16S ribosomal RNA". It matches the Rfam family "Bacterial small subunit ribosomal RNA", at positions 338 to 795 of the family's 1533-position model. The record is from RNAcentral.